RNAcentral lists this ribosomal RNA (429 nucleotides) under uncultured archaeon. RNAcentral's name for it is "bacterial SSU rRNA". It matches the Rfam family "Archaeal small subunit ribosomal RNA", at positions 474 to 903 of the family's 1478-position model. The record is from RNAcentral.
UACCUGCAGCUCGAGUGGUAACCGCUAUUAUUGGGCCUAAAGCGUCCGUAGCCGGUUUGGUAAAUAUCUGGGUAAAUCGUGAGGCUUAACUUCACGAAUUUCGGAUAGACUGCCAGACUUGGGAUCGGGGGAGGUCAGAGGUACUCCAGGGGUAGCGGUGAAAUGUUGUAAUCCUUGGAGGACCACCGGUAGCGAAGGCGUCUGACUAGAACGAGUCCGACGGUGAGGGACGAAGCCCUGGGGCGCAAACCAGAUUAGACACCCGGGUAGUCCAGGGUGUAAACGAUGUGGGCUUUGUAUUGGAGGUCCCACGUGGGCGUCCAGUGCAGAAGAGAAGUUGUUAAGCCCACCGCCUGGGAAGUACGGUCGCAAGGCUGAAACUUAAAGGAAUUGGCGGGGGAGCACAGCAACGGGAGGAGCGUGCGGUUU